RNAcentral lists this long non-coding RNA (1540 nucleotides) under Heterocephalus glaber (naked mole-rat). Its description in RNAcentral is "lncRNA (ENSHGLG00000050183.1)". Lineage: Eukaryota; Metazoa; Chordata; Mammalia; Rodentia; Bathyergidae. The record is from RNAcentral.
GCCACCGAGCAGGGCGCUCCCGGAGCCGGCGCGUUUGAGGACGGGGUCGCCUCCAGGAACUGCUUCUGUUCCUUGUGUUCGCGGUUCGUUUUUCUUCUGAAAAGAAAGCCUGUGUUUCAACACGGGUGCUUGGUCUCCACGUGGCAAAGCAGCUCUGUCACCACGCAGUGCACAGGGCAGGCUUGCAGAGCACGAGUGACCCCCGAUGUCCUUUAACGCCGCCUUCUUCCUGCUGCCUCUCAGGGUCUUCGGUCUCGGCACCGGGUCCCUCCCCUUUCCAUGCAGCUCUGCAGUGACGCUGGUUUGGGGCUCGUUUGGGCUGAAGUUAGCUGUGGGUUUCCCAAACUGACUGAGAUGAGUGCUCGGUGCGGGCAGAGGCGCCGACGGGAGAGGUAAAAAGCCGUAGGCGGCGGCACAGGGACUAAAACGAGCGUCACCACCAGACGCAGCCCGCAGCUGAGGAGCUCGGGCUCACCCCGCUCUGAACCCCGGGUAGAGGCUCAGGUCCGGGAGCAGUUGGUUUGUUCCGGUCUCCGCAGUCAGAACUCUGGGCCUCUGCUCCUCUGUACCUGCAGGGGCGCCCAUGCCCCGUCGCCCCGUCGCCGCCUCCGUCAGAUCAUCGGGCCCUGGGUUCUCAGGAGGAGCGGAGUCCUCAGCCCUCGCAGGCAGCCCCACUGCGGACCCGGCCACAGACAGGCGCUGGGCCCUUCCUGCCUGGUCUCCAUAACCCUGUUACUCGGGACUUACCCGGUCACUUCCGGGGAGAGGAGGGCUCACGGGUAGCAGGGUACAUGAAAACACUGUGCAGUUUUCAGGGGCACCUGCCCCCCAGUGCAGGAAGAGCCCCUCUCCCAGGCCCUCAGACAGCCCAGAUGGGAGAGGGCGCGGCAUCUCCACUCACCUUCCUUGCAGUCACUCGUUUCAUCUAAGAAGAAAGAGGGGAGAGAGGAAGAGGAGGAAGAAGAAAAGUCACCAGUGAAUCCUGAAUUGGAAGGAGACCCAACUGCCCCGAACACCCAGCUCCCCACAGCAGCAGGAGGAGCUCACGUCUCACUGAGGAGCAGCCGCCAGCCGGAGUGCACGUGGAAAAGAGGAGACAGCAGGAUAAACCGUCAGUGCCCGGCCCAGAGCUGUGGAUGCCCUAACUCCACGUGCCCUGCGGGGUGAGACAGGGUUUGGGACAGUGCAGCGAACAGAGCCCGAGGCGUCUCCGGCCUCCCGGCCCAGGUCCACCCACCCUGGGCCCAGGCAUCGUGGGACACUCAGCUGGGAUCCGGAAGCUCAGAUUUCGGGGUUCUGGGGUUGGGGUGCUCGACUUGUAAAGCCUAAGCAAAUAUCCCAACUUCUGAAAAGAAGUCUGAGACCUGAGACCUGUCUGGGGCCAAGCAUUUCUGACAAGGAAAUGCAACCUGCUGGGGACUCAGAGCCUGGGCGGCCCUGGGGAAGCAGCCAGUUCGGCGCCUUGGGGAGCCUGAGACCGGGAGGCCGAGGUGCGGGGGGGCCAGCACAUUCAGUGCUCUUGCUGGAGCCCACAAACCAC